CCUACGGGAGGCUGCAGUGGGGAAUAUUGCACAAUGGGGGAAACCCUGAUGCAGCGACGCCGCGUGGAGGAAGAAGUAUUUCGGUAUGUAAACCCCUUUCAGCAGGGAAGAAAAAUGACGGUACCUGACUAAUAAGCACCGGCUAACUACGUGCCAGCAGCCGCGGUAAUACGUAGGGUGCAAGCGUUAUCCGGAUUUACUGGGUGUAAAGGGAGCGCAGGCGGGGCGUUAAGCCGGUUGUGAAAGCCCGCGGCCUAACCGCGGAACUGCAGUGGAAACUGGCUGUCUGGAGUGCCGGAGGGGUAGGUGGAAUUCCUAGUGUAGCGGUGAAAUGCGUAGAUAUUAGGAGGAACACCAGUGGCGAAGGCGGCCUACUGGACGGUGACUGACGCUGAGGCUCGAAAGCGUGGGGAGCAAACAGGAUUAGAUACCCCUGUAGUC
This 441-nucleotide ribosomal RNA is filed under the name uncultured bacterium. Its description in RNAcentral is "partial 16S ribosomal RNA". It matches the Rfam family "Bacterial small subunit ribosomal RNA", at positions 338 to 795 of the family's 1533-position model. The record is from RNAcentral.